GAUGAACGCUGGCGGCGUGCCUAAUACAUGCAAGUCGAGCGAACAGACGAGGAGCUUGCUCCUCUGACGUUAGCGGCGGACGGGUGAGUAACACGUGGAUAACCUACCUAUAAGACUGGGAUAACUUCGGGAAACCGGAGCUAAUACCGGAUAAUAUAUUGAACCGCAUGGUUCAAUAGUGAAAGACGGUUUUGCUGUCACUUAUAGAUGGAUCCGCGCCGCAUUAGCUAGUUGUUAAGGUAACGGCUUACCAAGGCGACGAUGCGUAGCCGACCUGAGAGGGUGAUCGGCCACACUGGAACGGAGACACGGUCCAGACUCCUAAGGGAGGCAGCAGUAGGGAAUCUUCCGCAAUGGGCGAAAGCCUGACGGAGCAACGCCGCGUGAGUGAUGAAGGUCUUCGGAUCGUAAAACUCUGUUAUUAGGGAAGAACAAAUGUGUAAGUAACUAUGCACGUCUUGACGGUACCUAAUCAGAAAGCCACGGCUAACUACGUG
Molecule: ribosomal RNA, 497 nt
Filed under: uncultured bacterium
Lineage: Bacteria
Description: partial 16S ribosomal RNA
Rfam family: Bacterial small subunit ribosomal RNA
Source: RNAcentral